ACGCUCGACACCUACGGAGGCAGCAGUCGGGAAUAUUGCGCAAUGGAGGAAACUCUGACGCAGUGACGCCGCGUAUGGGAAGAAGGUUUUCGGAUUGUAAAACCAUUUUAGACAAGGAAGAAACAAGACAGUACUUGUAGAAUAAGCUCCGGCUAACUACGUGCCAACAGCCGCGGUAAUCUGAGCGGGCUGGCAAGGC
Molecule: ribosomal RNA, 199 nt
Filed under: uncultured bacterium
Lineage: Bacteria
Description: partial 16S ribosomal RNA
Rfam family: Bacterial small subunit ribosomal RNA
Source: RNAcentral